RNAcentral lists this ribosomal RNA (229 nucleotides) under uncultured bacterium. Its description in RNAcentral is "partial 16S ribosomal RNA". It matches the Rfam family "Bacterial small subunit ribosomal RNA", at positions 568 to 796 of the family's 1533-position model. The record is from RNAcentral.
UACGUAGGCGGAAAAUUAAGUCAGUAGUGAAAUCCUGCAGCUUAACUGUAGAACUGUUAUUGAUACUGGUUUUCUUGAAUAUAGUUGAGGUAGGCGGAAUGUGUAAUGUAGCGGUGAAGUGCUUAGAUAUUACACAGAACACCGAUUGCGGAGGCAGCUUACUAAGCUAUGAUUGACGCUGAGGUACGAAAGCGUGGGGAGCGAACAGGAUUAGAUACCCUGGUAGUCC